Molecule: ribosomal RNA, 307 nt
Filed under: uncultured bacterium
Lineage: Bacteria
Description: bacterial SSU rRNA
Rfam family: Bacterial small subunit ribosomal RNA
Source: RNAcentral
GAUGAACGCUAGCGGCAGGCCUAAUACAUGCAAGUCGAACGAUAGUUAAUCUUUCGGGAUUAACGAAAGUGGCGCACGGGUGCGUAACGCGUAUGCAACCUACCCUUAACUGGGGGAUAGCCCGAAGAAAUUCGGAUUAAUACCCCAUAGUAUCCUCAGACGGCAUCAGAAGAGGAUUAAAGAUUUAUUGGUUAAGGAUGGGCAUGCGUGACAUUAGUUAGUUGGUGAGGUAACGGCUCACCAAGACCACGAUGUCUAGGGGUUCUGAGAGGAUGAUCCCCCACACUGGUACUGAGAUACGGACCAG